UCGAAGGAAAAUAAAACAAGAUAACAUAUAAAACAAUUUAAAGUAAAUAAUAAUUUAAAAUAAUUGAUUUAAUAACGAUUCAAAAUAAAUAAUAAAAGUUUCAAAUAAACAACAUUAGGAAAACUCAACAUAAAUAAAAAUAAAAUAAAAUAUAUAUCGAAUUGUAUAAGCCCAAAUAUGCCCGGGCCCAAUAAACUAAACCUAAGCCCAAACUAAACCUAGCCCAAAAAACAAAAAAAUAAUAGAAACCCUAAGCAGAAAAAACCACCAGCCGCCGCCCUCAACAGCAGCCACGUUCGUCGCAGCCUCUUGCGCUCCUUCCCC
Molecule: long non-coding RNA, 324 nt
Filed under: Gossypium raimondii (Peruvian cotton)
Lineage: Eukaryota; Viridiplantae; Streptophyta; Magnoliopsida; Malvales; Malvaceae
Description: long non-coding RNA (GRAI_LNC009618)
Source: RNAcentral